Non-coding RNA from Podarcis lilfordi (Lilford's wall lizard), 79 nucleotides. Lineage: Eukaryota; Metazoa; Chordata; Lepidosauria; Squamata; Lacertidae. The record is from the annotation of a GenBank genome assembly.
GCCUGGGAGAGGAUAGCUCAGUUGGUGGAGCCUGAGACUCUUAACCUCAAGGUGAUGAGUUCAAGCCCCAUGUUGGGCA